This 142-nucleotide ribosomal RNA is filed under the name uncultured archaeon. Its description in RNAcentral is "partial 16S ribosomal RNA". It matches the Rfam family "Archaeal small subunit ribosomal RNA", at positions 353 to 498 of the family's 1478-position model. The record is from RNAcentral.
CAACGGGUAACGUGAUAAGGGGACACCGAGUGCCAGCAUCAUAUGUUGGCUGUCCAGAUGUGUAAAAUACAUCUGUUAGCAAGGGCCGGGCAAGACCGGUGCCAGCCGCCGCGGUAACACCGGCGGCCCGAGUGGUGAUCGU